AACGCACAUUGCGCCCUUUGGUAUUCCGAAGGGCAUGCCUGUUCGAGCGUCAUUAUCACCCCUCAAGCCCCUCGGCUUGGUGUUGGACGGCCUGGCGGGGACCUCUCGGUCGCCGCCCCUCCCAAAGACAAUGACGGCGGCUCGUUGGACCCCCGGUACACUGAGUUCUUCACGGGACACGUACUGGAUCAAGGGUGCGCGGGCGACGGUCUACCUCCCCCUCGCGGGAGAACUUUUUUACAAGGUUGACCUCGGAUCAGGUAGGGAUACCCGCUGAACUUAA
Molecule: unclassified non-coding RNA, 283 nt
Filed under: uncultured fungus
Lineage: Eukaryota; Fungi
Description: sequence contains ITS2
Rfam family: 5.8S ribosomal RNA (bases 1-52)
Source: RNAcentral